Molecule: ribosomal RNA, 433 nt
Filed under: uncultured bacterium
Lineage: Bacteria
Description: partial 16S ribosomal RNA
Rfam family: Bacterial small subunit ribosomal RNA
Source: RNAcentral
AGCGAACGCCGGCGGCAGGCCUAACACAUGCAAGUCGAACGAACUCUUCGGAGUUAGUGGCGGACGGGUGAGUAACACGUGGGAACGUGCCUUUAGGUUCGGAAUAACUCAGGGAAACUUGUGCUAAUACCGAAUGUGCCCUUCGGGGGAAAGAUUUAUCGCCUUUAGAGCGGCCCGCGUCUGAUUGGCUAGUUGGUGAGGUAAAGGCUCACCAAGGCGACGAUCAGUAGCUGGUCUGAGAGGAUGAUCAGCCACAUUGGGACUGAGACACGGCCCAAACUCCUACGGGAGGCAGCAGUGGGGAAUCUUGCGCAAUGGGCGAAAGCCUGACGCAGCCAUGCCGCGUGAAUGAUGAAGGUCUUAGGAUUGUAAAAUUCUUUCACCGGGGACGAUAAUGACGGUACCCGGAGAAGAAGCCCCGGCUAACUUCGUG